Non-coding RNA from Arachis ipaensis, 651 nucleotides. Lineage: Eukaryota; Viridiplantae; Streptophyta; Magnoliopsida; Fabales; Fabaceae. The record is from RefSeq and is a predicted model, not a curated record.
GGAUAGCGGCAAAAAAUUGCCGGCCGCUCAGCUUACCGCCACAAAACAUGUCAGCAGAAGUACCAAUCCUUAAUAUGUUGCACCAUCGGUGGCGACUGCAUCUGAAAUGCCGCUAAUUUGGAUCUUUAUCAUAAUUCAAUUUUUAUUUUGCCUUUUUUUUUAUCUUAUAACUAAUAUUUUCCCCAAUCUUGCAGAAACCCGCAAAGUGAGAUUGGUAGCGCAUGAAACCCUGGCACUACUGCUCCACCGUGCAUCGCUGAUCCAUCCUCCUCUUUCCGGCGUCAAGCUUUCGACUCUCCUGCACAGUGCCUGAAAUCCAUACUCCCUCAUCCAUGGUGCCUGAAAUCCCUAAUCUUCGAUUCACCCUGCGCAUUUGUGUGGUUGUGGAGUCGUGCGGCUGCCCUUCGUCCUUCUCUCACCAGCGUCGAAGUUUUCCAUCUCCUCGAUCGUGCGUGAAACCCUUACACCCUCCUCCCCUGUGCGCCGAUCUGAGCUAUCGUGGCCUCUCCCCUAUUACUGACAUCUGAGGAAGCAGCUGAAACACUGAACCAGCUUAGACAAGGUGCAGUGAAGGUGCUUUUUGUUUCCCCAGAGCGCUUCCUGAAUGAGGAGUUUCUGUCUAUUAUUUCUGGUAUGUCAGGCAUCUCACUU